Podarcis lilfordi (Lilford's wall lizard) is the source of this 143-nucleotide non-coding RNA. The record is from the annotation of a GenBank genome assembly. NCBI's taxonomy places the organism in Eukaryota, Metazoa, Chordata, Lepidosauria, Squamata, Lacertidae.
UAAAGGUGCCGAUAACGAUACCAGUGACGAUAAUGAUAACAACGAUAACGAUAACAACGAUAUUGGUAACGAUAACAACGAUAACGAUACCGUUGUUAUCGUUAUCAUUGUUAUCGUUAUCGUCACUGUUAUCGUUAUCUUUG